AGAGUUUGAUCCUGGCUCAGAACGACGCUGGCGGCGUGGAUAAGACAUGCAAGUCGAGCGCUGAUUACAAGGUAGCAAUAUUUUGUAGUUGGAGCGGCGCAAGGGUGCGUAACACGUGGGUAAUCUGCCAUGAAGUUUGGGAUAACUUGCUGAAAGGCGAGCUAAUACCGGAUGUGAAAAUUGGGAGGCAUCUCUUGAUUUUCAAAGCUGGGGACCGUAAGGCCUGGCGCUUCAUGAUGAGCCCGCGGCCUAUCAGCUAGUUGGUAAGGUAACGGCUUACCAAGGCUAAGACGGGUAGCUGGUCUGAGAGGACGACCAGCCACACUGGAACUGAGACACGGUCCAGACACCUACGGGUGGCAGCAGUCGAGAAUUUUUCACAAUGGGCGCAAGCCUGAUGGAGCGACGCCGCGUGGGGGAUGAAUGGCUUCGGCCCGUAAACCCCUGUCAUUUGCGAUCAAACCUCGUUAUUUAAAAGAUGACGAGCUGAUAGUAGCGAAAGAGGAAGGGACGGCUAACUCUGUGCCAGCAGCCGCGGUAAUACAGAGGUCCCAAGCGUUGUUCGGAUUCACUGGGCGUAAAGGGUGCGUAGGUGGCGAGGUAAGUCGGAUGUGAAAUCUCCGAGCUCAACUCGGAAAUGGCAUUGGAAACUACCUUGCUCGAGGGUCGGAGGGGGGACUGGAAUACUUGGUGUAGCAGUGAAAUGCGUAGAUAUCAAGUGGAACACCAGUGGCGAAGGCGAGUCCCUGGACGACUCCUGACACUGAGGCACGAAAGCUAGGGGAGCAAACAGGAUUAGAUACCCUAGUAGUCC
RNAcentral lists this ribosomal RNA (814 nucleotides) under uncultured bacterium. RNAcentral's name for it is "bacterial SSU rRNA". It matches the Rfam family "Bacterial small subunit ribosomal RNA", at positions 8 to 796 of the family's 1533-position model. The record is from RNAcentral.